This 466-nucleotide ribosomal RNA is filed under the name uncultured Klebsiella sp. RNAcentral's name for it is "bacterial SSU rRNA". It matches the Rfam family "Bacterial small subunit ribosomal RNA", at positions 338 to 795 of the family's 1533-position model. The record is from RNAcentral. Lineage: Bacteria; Pseudomonadati; Pseudomonadota; Gammaproteobacteria; Enterobacterales; Enterobacteriaceae.
CCUACGGGUGGCUGCAGUGGGGAAUAUUGCACAAUGGGCGCAAGCCUGAUGCAGCCAUGCCGCGUGUGUGAAGAAGGCCUUCGGGUUGUAAAGCACUUUCAGCGGGGAGGAAGGCGGUGAGGUUAAUAACCUCAUCGAUUGACGUUACCCCGCAGAAGAAGCACCGGCUAACUCCGUGCCAGCAGCCGCGGUAAUACGGAGGGUGCAAGCGUUAAUCGGAAUUACUGGGCGUAAAGCGCACGCAGGCGGUCUGUCAAGUCGGAUGUGAAAUCCCCGGGCUCAACCUGGGAACUGCAUUCGAAACUGGCAGGCUAGAGUCUUGUAGAGGGGGGUAGAAUUCCAGGUGUAGCGGUGAAAUGCGUAGAGAUCUGGAGGAAUACCGGUGGCGAAGGCGGCCCCCUGGACAAAGACUGACGCUCAGGUGCGAAAGCGUGGGGAGCAAACAGGAUUAGAUACCCUAGUAGUC